This 230-nucleotide ribosomal RNA is filed under the name uncultured bacterium. Its description in RNAcentral is "partial 16S ribosomal RNA". It matches the Rfam family "Bacterial small subunit ribosomal RNA", at positions 561 to 791 of the family's 1533-position model. The record is from RNAcentral.
UAAAGCGUGCGCAGGCGGUUUGUAAGUUUGUCGUGAAAUCCCCGGGCUCAACCUGGGAAUGGCGAUGAAGACUGCAAGGCUAGAGUUUGGCAGAGGGGGGUAGAAUUCCACGUGUAGCAGUGAAAUGCGUAGAUAUGUGGAGGAACACCGAUGGCGAAGGCAGCCCCCUGGGUCAAAACUGACGCUCAUGCACGAAAGCGUGGGGAGCAAACAGGAUUAGAUACCCUAGU